This is a long non-coding RNA of Brienomyrus brachyistius, 420 nucleotides long. RefSeq lists it as uncharacterized. Lineage: Eukaryota; Metazoa; Chordata; Actinopteri; Osteoglossiformes; Mormyridae. The record is from RefSeq and is a predicted model, not a curated record. The transcript is spliced from 3 exons.
CAGUAAAAGAGCCAAGAGUGAGUCAAGUUCUGUUUGGAAGAGGGUGUUUGAUUUCUUCCAAAGGGGAGAGGAUGCCAUCUAAUGGACAAGCUAGGAAUCACAGACAGCUUCAUGAUGAUUGCAUCAAGGCAAUACUUAUUGAGAUAUGUUCCUGGGUACUGGGAUGAAGGACGUGGUCUUGACACAGCUACAGUAGGAACAGGACCUCGGACCAGGGACAAGAUGUGGGUGAAGAUGCCUACGAGCUGUGUUGCCAAGUCUAACAGCUUCACUUCAUGCUUUCAUCAAGAAGCGGACCCCCUGGUUCAUACAUCAAUUCGGGUACUGGAGUAUGUUGGUGGACAUGUUUAGGAACGUAUCAAGUGUCUGUGGAGACAUACUCUUCCAUGCCACUACAGGACCCCAGUGUUGCUGCUUCAU